CCUACGGGAGGCAGCAGUGAGGAAUAUUGGUCAAUGGACGAAAGUCUGAACCAGCCAAGUAGCGUGAAGGAUGAAUGCCCUAUGGUUUGUAAACCUCUUUUAUAAAGGAAUAAAACGCGGCACGUGUGCCUUUUUGCAUGUACUUCAUGAAUAAGGAUCGGCUAACUCCGUGCCAGCAGCCGCGGUAAUUCGGAGGAUCCGAGCGUUAUCCGGAUUUAUUGGGGUUAAAGGGAGCGUAGAUGGGUCGUUAAGUCAGUUGUGAAAGUUUGCGGCGCAACCGUAAAAUUGCAAUUGAGACUGGCAGUCUUGAGUACAGUUGAGGUAGGCGGAAUUCGUGGUGUAGCGGUGAAAUGCUUAGAUAUCACGAAGAACCCCGAUUGCGAAGGCAGCUUACUAGACUGUGACUGACACUGAUGCACGAAAGUGUGGGGAUCAAACAGGAUUAGAUACCCGAGUAGUC
This 460-nucleotide ribosomal RNA is filed under the name uncultured bacterium. RNAcentral describes it as "partial 16S ribosomal RNA". It matches the Rfam family "Bacterial small subunit ribosomal RNA", at positions 338 to 795 of the family's 1533-position model. The record is from RNAcentral.